Molecule: ribosomal RNA, 433 nt
Filed under: uncultured bacterium
Lineage: Bacteria
Description: partial 16S ribosomal RNA
Rfam family: Bacterial small subunit ribosomal RNA
Source: RNAcentral
AACGAACGCUGGCGGCAGGCCUAACACAUGCAAGUCGAGCGAGCAUUUCGGUGCUAGCGGCGGACGGGUGGGUAACGCGUGGGAACGUGCCCUUUUCUGCGGAAUAGUCCUGGGAAACUGGGGGUAAUACCGCAUACGCCCUUUUGGGGAAAGAUUUAUCGGAGAAGGAUCGGCCCGCGUUGGAUUAGGUAGUUGGUGGGGUAAUGGCCCACCAAGCCGACGAUCCAUAGCUGGUUUGAGAGGAUGAUCAGCCACACUGGGACUGAGACACGGCCCAGACUCCUACGGGAGGCAGCAGUGGGGAAUCUUAGACAAUGGGGGCAACCCUGAUCUAGCCAUGCCGCGUGAGUGAUGAAGGCCUUAGGGUUGUAAAGCUCUUUCAGCUGGGAAGAUAAUGACGGUACCAGCAGAAGAAGCCCCGGCUAACUCCGUG